Molecule: long non-coding RNA, 385 nt
Organism: Syngnathus acus (greater pipefish)
Lineage: Eukaryota; Metazoa; Chordata; Actinopteri; Syngnathiformes; Syngnathidae
Exons: 2
Source: RefSeq, a predicted model, not a curated record
UGACACGCUUGAGGUGAGUUUGAGGCAGGUAGGCCACUAUUACAUGGUUAGGUCCUGGCCCAUUGAACAGAACUUUGUAAUGAGGAGUCUUCUUGGCUGCAACACUCUUCAUGGUUAUCCAAACAUAUUAUGGUGAUCACACAGACUGACCCGCGUUCCUUUGUACAUCCUGAACACCCACUCAGCGGGGGCCCUCAUCUCACUAUCCCAGCUCACCACCACGCCGAGCCGGUGGGUCUUGCGAUCCACCACGACCUCGCCCACCCGCAGGAAAACGUAAGGCGGCCGUGGACUGCGCACCUCCUUGGAUGCUGACACACAAACAUAAGAAUAGCAUGUAAAUAUUUUUUUCCUAUUAACAUUAAAACAAAUUUGGCUUUGUAAA